AUUUAUCGUCUGCACGUUACGACGCCGUUACUGAGACCUUGUUGGGAGAAGAAGCGGUGCAAAAAAUUUUAGGUUUAAGGUUGUUUCAGAGUUAAGAAAAACAACCAAAUAGAAACUUAAAAUGGAUAAAACUGAUUUCGAAAAAACCCGCUACGAGUUCCUGGAAUCCAUCUCACAAGCUCUUGACUUUGGGGAACAACCCAUAAUAAAGGCAUUGCUUGUAACCAACAACACAUAUCUGAUUGGAGAAGCAGAUAAAAAAGCUAUCUGGGAUCAGGCUUUUCGAGAUAAAUUUUUGAAUGAUUCUCCAUUUUUUUCCAUACCAUUGUUUGAAAAACUUUUGCAGCUGAGCUUAGAUUGUGCUGUAGCUCUGAUAUGUUCUCCAACACUGCCUGUGAUCCUUCUCACAGAUGCCUUUGAUAUCCUAUCUCUGGGAAAAUGUGAAGAAAUCUUUUACAUGGUUGAAAUGAAAGUGUCAACUUGGAAGCAAGAGCUAUUCUUCAAUCAAUGUAAAAACACCUUACUGCGUCUUUGCAAUGAUUUGCUGAGGCGCCUAUCCCGUAGCCAAAAUACAGUUUUCUGUGGCCGAAUUCUUCUGUUCUUAGCAAAAUUUUUCCCUUUCUCUGAGCGGUCUGGACUCAACGUAGUCAGCGAAUUUAAUUUAGACAAUCUAACGACAUUUGGAGGUAAAGAGGAUCUUUCUGAUGGAUCCGAUAUUACAGAAAAAGAAAAAGAUGCAAUGGAAGUAGAGGAGAGUUUGGGCUCUGACUAUAAUCUGUACAAAAAAUUUUGGUCUCUACAAGACUUCUUCCGAAAUCCCAAUCAGUGUUAUACGAAAAUCCCUUGGAAAACGUUCUGCCUGCACACCAAUGACGUUUUGUCAGCCUUUUCUACAAUCAAAUUGGAUGAACGGCGGAAUCGUUCCAAAUGGGAUGAGGCAGAUGUGUCGGCAGAUGUCGGUAUAGAUGAAACCAGCACAAAUGCUGGGAACGUCCAGCAAUAUUUCGCCAAAUAUUUGACGAGUCAGAAUCUUUUGGAGCUUCAGCUGGGCGACUCCAACUUCAGACGCUAUAUUCUGCUCCAGUUCCUGAUUAUUUUCCAAUAUCUUGAUUCACCCGUGAAGUUUAAACAGGAAACACACAAAUUGAGUGAAGAACAAACUACGUGGAUCACAGAGGCUACCGAUCAAGUUUACCGCUUGUUGAAAGAUACCCCUCCGGACGGAGCUUCGUUCGCACAGUCCAUUCGUCACAUUCUUAAGCGCGAGGAGUUAUGGAGCAACUGGAAGAACGAUGGUUGUCCGGAAUUUCGACCGACCAUCGCCCCAAAUACGGAUGACAUCCCCAACGACAGUAGCAAUGGCGAAAAAAAGACCGUCGCAGUAGCCCGACCUAGACGCAUGAAACGAAGCUUAGGCGAUCAGAUUCGAGAAGCUUCCAAGAGACACAAAUGCAUUAUUGGAAAUGCCGAAAUGAAUCGUCUUUGGAAUUUGUGCCCCGAUAACAUGGCCGCCUGUCGUUCCAAAGACCGAGAUUUUUUACCUACUUUAGAGCAUUACUUUGAGGAAGCGAUCGAACAGCUUGAUCCUUCAGUGGAGAGUCAAUACAAGCGAGUUAAUGAGGCGAAUUUUGGGUGGCGUGCAUUACGACUUUUAGCUCGAAGAAGUUUGCACUUUUUCACUCAUGGCAACACUCCAAUUACACGGCUACCAGAUUAUUUGGAAACGCACGUUCGCAAGUUGGCCAAGGACAUUCAGGGCGUGCGUCACAAAAUGCAAGUGUUCUGACAAAGACUAUAGCAACGGAGUUUCGUGCUAAGAAAACUUUUGCGCGCGUAAAAGGUCAAAAAUUAUACGCUUUAAAACGACGACGCUGUUCAGUAAAUGUGUUGCCCAAUGUCAAACCGGAACCAGUGGAUGAUGCUGGUGAAGUGGAGCAAAUGGAACCAGAAGCAGAUCCAGUAUCAAGUACAUCGGAAAUCGAAGGAGGACCAGAC
Molecule: unclassified non-coding RNA, 1995 nt
Filed under: Daphnia magna
Lineage: Eukaryota; Metazoa; Arthropoda; Branchiopoda; Diplostraca; Daphniidae
Description: tHO complex subunit 1, transcript variant X4
Source: RNAcentral